UUAAGACAAUCCAAACUGCUCUUCGUCUAGGACUGUUCAAGCCGCCGAGGCACUAUGAAACUUUCGUCUCUACAUCUUCCAUUCAUUCUUAUCCCAAUUCGCAUGUAAAGAUUUGUGAUCUAUUUUGAUUCUUUGAAACGUUUCAAACAUAGAAGGGCCGCCAGCCAGAUCUAAAAUUUCAGCCACUAGCCGUUGUCAGUCUCGCAAUUUCCGAUCAGAUUCAUCUAAUCUAACUCGUGCUCUACCUUGGAUACAUUAGUUUUUUGAAGUUUGUGAGAUCAAUUACUAUUGUGAAGAAUCUUGUCUUAGAGAAAGCAUGGAACACUUCAUCAGGAAAACACAUGGAUGCUUGAAGCUUUGAAUUACUGGUGUUGAAGUUUUUUAGGAAAAAGUUAUGAUUAUGUAAUUGUAGUUGCAUGUUGAUGUAAUUGUUGUUUUAUUUUAAUUAUCUAUGGUGUUACUGGCGUGUGGUUAUAUGCCUUUUGGAAAGUUUUGAA
This is a long non-coding RNA of Nicotiana tabacum (common tobacco), 497 nucleotides long. RefSeq lists it as uncharacterized. The record is from RefSeq and is a predicted model, not a curated record. NCBI's taxonomy places the organism in Eukaryota, Viridiplantae, Streptophyta, Magnoliopsida, Solanales, Solanaceae.